Molecule: ribosomal RNA, 372 nt
Filed under: uncultured organism
Description: partial 16S ribosomal RNA
Rfam family: Bacterial small subunit ribosomal RNA
Source: RNAcentral
GUAGGUGGCAAGCGUUGUCCGGAAUUAUUGGGCGUAAAGCGCGCGCAGGCGGUUCUUUAAGUCUGAUGUGAAAGCCCACGGGCUCAACCGUGGAGGGUCAUUGGAAACUGGAGAACUUGAGUACAGAAGAGGAAAGCGGAAUUCCACGUGUAGCGGUGAAAUGCGUAGAGAUGUGGAGGAACACCAGUGGCGAAGGCGGCUUUCUGGUCUGUAACUGACGCUGAGGCGCGAAAGCGUGGGGAGCAAACAGGAUUAGAUACCCUGGUAGUCCACGCCGUAAACGAUGAGUGCUAAGUGUUAGGGGGUUUCCGCCCCUUAGUGCUGCAGCUAACGCAUUAAGCACUCCGCCUGGGGAGUACGGCCCAAAGGCUG